ACCUGGGCUUGAAUCCCAGCAGCCACACCUCACACCCCUUUUUCCUCGAGCCGAAUCAUACCAAAACCAAACGACGCCGUCUCUCCGUCUCCCAUCUCUCACCCGAUCUCUCGCAUACAUAUACAGUGUACUCUGUCUCUCACUUCAGAAUUCAGAUACUGAUUCAGAAGACUCGAAAGCCAGAGUGUGUCUCCCAAUCGCAGGUCGAACGUUGCUCCAGAUGAUUGACAAUCAAGACCUUGGCUUCUUUGCUAAUUUUCUCGGCAUAUUUGUUUUUGCUCUGAUGAUUGCAUACCAUUACGUGGUGGCUGAUCCAAAAUAUGAAGGCAACUGAGGGUAACGUAUUGGUCUUUGCUGGUGGGGAUGCCAUGCCAUUUCUGUUUUGUUAUAAUGCAAGGGGUGGGCUAUUCAGAAUACAAGCUAGGGGAGUCGCGGACAGUCUUUCGGAGAUACUGUUUAUUGUCUAUUGUAUUUGGGGUAAAAGGAAUCUGAAAGUUUGUUGGGUAUUCAGACAACCUUUAGCAACGUUGGAGGAAAAUGGUAUUUUGUAUUUUGCCAGCAGCAAUGUUGGCCUUUGGGACUGAUAUAUUUAUAAUGUAAUGUUGAUGCAUUAAAUUGAUAUGUCGUUUAUUA
RNA transcript from Rhododendron vialii, 633 nucleotides. It is a transcript of the gene named dolichyl-diphosphooligosaccharide--protein glycosyltransferase subunit 4A-like, with no coding region annotated. The record is from RefSeq and is a predicted model, not a curated record. Lineage: Eukaryota; Viridiplantae; Streptophyta; Magnoliopsida; Ericales; Ericaceae. The transcript has 3 exons.